Molecule: long non-coding RNA, 6442 nt
Organism: Marmota monax (woodchuck)
Lineage: Eukaryota; Metazoa; Chordata; Mammalia; Rodentia; Sciuridae
Exons: 5
Source: RefSeq, a predicted model, not a curated record
UGCUUAGUGCCUCACUUUUUGCUGAGGUUGGCUUUGAACUCACAGUUAAAAGUGUGUGCCACCACACCCAGAUUUUUUUUCUUUUUUGAGAAAUCCUCAAAAUUCUCAUUUUAAGAAUGGUCUUGCUAAGUUUUGCAAAGUUGCUGAGGCUGACCUUGAACUUGGGAUCUUCCUGCCUCAGCUUCCCCAGUCUCUGGGAUUACAGAUGUGCACUGUGCUUGGAUAGGGAAUGUCAUUUUAAAUAUCUUGCCCACAGAAGUGCUCACUGAGAAGGUGGCAUUUAAAAGACCUUUUUAGGGCUGGGGUGUAGCUGCACGGUAGAGCUCUUGCCUAGAUGCAGGAGGCCCUGGCAGAAGGACAGUUCACAGCCUAUAUCCACCACCAGCAUUCAGCAAUUGGUCGUAUUUUGCCACAUCUGCUGCUUCUCACUUUUCUGUACUUGAUGAGCCAUUUAGAAUUCAUUUCAGACACCCACGGAGACUUCCCUUCGUGUCCUUUAGUGGCGAAGGCAUUCUUAUCAUUGUACCUCUCUACUACAUCCAAUUAACAAUAAUUCCGAAUAUCUCCCAGUUCUCUGUUGGAAGAGGCAUUUGACCAGCCAUGCGAAGCAGGUGAGAGGUGGGCCAUGUGAGUACCCGGCAGAAGAACAUGCCAGCAGAGGGGACAGCCACUGCAAAGGCCCUAGGCUGAGUUUUUAUCUCCCAGGAACUGAGAGGAGGACGAUGUGGCUGGACUGAAGUGAAUGAGCCAGGAGGACAGGUAAGAUAUGAGGGCAGAGAGGAAGGAUCCAGAUACCGCAGAGCCUUGUGGCCCUCGGCGAUCCCUUUGGCUUUUCUGCGUCAGCAGGUGCCCCUGGAAUUCGCGGGCCCAGGACGGACCUGACCUGCGGUAAGUGGGAACUGGCGCCCCCUCGCGGAGGUGCGGCGAAAGCCGGGAGCUUCGGGCGCAGAGGGUGAAGAGUCCAGGUGUGUUGCCCGUGCGCCGGCCCAGGUGGUGACCCGGGGACGGCCCGAAGCGGUGGGAUUCAGGAUGCAUUUUGAAGGUCACGCGAAUGGGAUUGUUAGGAAACUGACAUGUUAAUUGACACCCCUCCCUGCCAGGAGAGGAGAACGGGAAACAGGACUUCUUCCACGCGCUCUUUCGUGUGGUUGCAGGUGAUUCACGGAAGACGCUUCACGUCGCUUCCCUUCCUGCGGUCGAUCGAUCUGUGGAUGAACGUGUGGGUGGGUUCCAGUUCCCUCAGGCCAUCCCUCCCUGGAGAGCGGGAGCAAGGCAGUGACCUGGUGACAGAGAUGGCCUGGAGAUGCACACCGCCACCCCCACCUUUACAGAUUUACAGGGUGGUUGCUGGGAGACAGAAACCGUCUGUGGGACUCCACUGGGACUGGACACUGGAGUGCCCCCCUGGACUCUGCCACAAUGCCUCUUCCCUUGGCUGAUUUUGAUCUGUGUCUUUUCACCAUGAUCAACUGAAGCUAUGCUUGUAACGCUUCUCUGAGUUCUGUGAGUCCUAAAGUACCGAUGAAAGGCUGGAUUCGUGGGACCCCAAUAGACCUCCAGGAGCCAAAUCCAAUGCAGUUUCACACAAGAGUCUUUAUUGCAAGAUGGAUUCUGGACUCACAACCGUUUCCAGCGCAAGGGUCCCAGGGAGGAGAUGCACUCUGGCCCAGAGGUGGGAGCCCAGCAAGGGACAGUGGUCCAGAGGUGGGAGCCGAGGCCUUGCUGGGUGCAGAGGGCACCUGCUGGGGGAGCAGCCCAGCACCUGGGGAGCGUGAGGCUGGGGAGCCUCGAGCGGAAUCAGAGCCCAGGCUGGAGUCUUGGAACCAACUCCCAGUGGAUCCCCAACACAACUGCAAAUAUGAAACCUGCCACCAAGAGACCAGUCAGCAGCAAGAAUGCAAAGACCCCUAUUAGUGCUCAGAUCCUGGUUCCCAUCCUCUGGGAAAAGGUCCUUGGAAGGAAGACCCGUCGUCGAGCUGGGUCAGAGGAAGAGCAGACCAGCCACUUUGCUGCACCAGAAAGCAAGAAUGGAGAGUUGACCAGAACCCUCGGUGAAGCAGGAGUCCCCGAGUGCCACCCACACAGCCCCGUGGUCCUGUACGAGCAUGCGGCCUCGUGACAGCAGAGCCACCUGCAUUUGUAUAGGCACAGCCCGUGGUGUUCACCUAGGGACAAAACCUUCAGAACCCAGCCCUGGUGGCCGGUGACAUGGCUGUGUGAAUGGAUCCAUAAGUCACUUGGAGAUCUAAGGCGAGAAGUGGGAUACCCACACAGUUUCAAAGUCUCCCCUCACAGAAGUCCUACUAUUUACAGAAGGGAAAAGAGUAACUUGGCUGUGGGAAAGACUGGCAGAUGCCACCAAAUCCUGUGACCAAAGCAAACAUGAGUAAUCAAAGAAAUGGACAACUCACUGGCAGUGAGGAAAAUACCACGUCACGUCAGUGCUUCUGCUGCCAAAGGACCCGGUCACGAGGCAGCUCACACACGCAGAGGACAGAGAGCCUUGGAGCCCCAGGUGUCAAGGUCACGGAAGACAGGGGAGAUUGAAACUGAAAGAGAGGAACUGCCCCUUCCUGACCUUCCAAGGGACCCAACCCGAGUACCAUCUGGCCGGCAUCCACCACUCAGAGCCUCACUUGGACCCACAGCAAAACCUGGUCGCAGUCCUACGAUUCCAGGUAGUGAUGAGUGGGGUCCCCUUCCUGACGGUGAUCAGCUGUGGUUUUGUAGGAGGACGCCCCUGUUUGUAGGAAGCACAAGGUCACGUACGCUUUAGUGUGCCCACGUCCUUACUCCCCAGCAGUUCUGGGAAAUCCGAUCUCUUUCUUCUUUUUCUUUUUUGUACUGGGGGUUGAACCCAGGGGUGCUUAACCACUGAGCCACACCACCAGCCCUUUUUAUUUUUAUUUUUUGUUUUGAGAUAGGGUCUUGCUAAAGUGCUGAGGCUGGCCUUGAACUUGUGAUCCUCCUGCCUCAGCCUCCCAAGUUGCUGGGAUUACAAGUGUGUGUCACUGUGCCCAGCUGAGAAGCAAAAUUUCUGAAUUUUUCAAAUAAAAUGUGAUUAUUUUAAAGUUAAGAAAAAAAUACUGUUUUUUUUUGUUUAUUUUUUAAAAAAAUUAUCAUUAAAGUCUUCAUGUUAGCUGAGAAGACACUUUGAAAUUUUAAUGUUUAUGAGAAGAAAUAAGAAAAACAGAUCAUGUAUUUGAUCAAAAGUUUCAUAUUCAAUCAAUGUAUUUCGAUCAACUGCUUGGUUUCGAACACUACUAUGCUUAUUGAUUUUAAUUAUGAUAAUGUAUAAAUAAAGAUAUUAUCAUCAUUUUCUUAAAAUAUGGUACAAGUAAUUUGAAUCAAGAAAGGAUAUGCCUUAGUUCAUUCAGGCUGGCUUUUUUCCCAUGUUUUUGUUGGUACAUUGUGAUGACAUAAAUGGUGGGAUUCCCUGUUACAUAUUAGUACUUGCACACAACAUUCAACAUCAUUUGGCCAGUCUCCCCCCAAGCACUUCCCCCUUGCUCCCCUCCACGCCCACUCUAGGUACUCAUACGGAAAGAGCCCCAGCAUAGAAAUAAACAAGGGCAAAAAGGUGUUCUUUCUGAUGUUUGGAAUGAUUUACGAGAGGAAAUCACCACCGUCAUUUUCAAAUCAAGUCUCUUUUAGACUUGAGACUUCAGAGACUCAGGAAGCUGAGACAGGAGGAUCCCAACUUCAAGGCCAGCUUGGCAGCUUAGUGAGAACUCUGUCUAAGAAUAAAAAGACUGGUGGUGUUGCUUGUGGUAAACUGGCCCUGGGUUCAACCCCAAUACUGCCAAAAAAAAAAAAAUCUCUUACUACUUCUUCUUUUUCUUUUUUUUUCUUCGCUGUUGAAAUGCAACUCAACAACAUUGAAGCCUUUUUCUGAAACCACCAAUUACAUUUUAGCCUCCAGGCUUGUUUAAAAGCAUCACAGGAAAAUAGGCAGCUCUUUCCAAUAUGAACAAGAUAGAAUUAAUACGGGAAAUAUUAAUGGCACCUUAAAGAACAUUAUUGUGAUAGGAUGUUCAAAGCAAAGAUAUGUUAAGGGAAUUAUAAUAUCAAGUAGGGAAAUAAUUAUUUACUUUGGGGGAAACUUGGACCAAGCCUCUUUUACUUCUUUAGACAACAUUUCCUACAUCCUCUCUUCUUGGCUGUAAUCUCCAGUCCUCCUGUAAUUCAAACCUGUUCCGAGGGAGGGCCCCCGCGAGCUGCAUUCCCGCAUUUGGAGAGGCCCAAACAUACUUUUCCUUUUCGUUAGAUUGUCUGCAGGCUGCUGUGAAGCUCUAGGCUCGCCCUUUGUUUCUUUUUGGUGGUGACAACGUCUGUCCACUGCCUUCUCGAAGGGGCCCGUCCUGUGUGAGAUCUGAGGCUACAGGGCUUUCGUUUCUCCUGGAAGAGGACCUGCACAUUGCCAGGAUGCCAAAGGGUGUUUUCUUUAUCUUAACAGUCUGUUGCCUUGAAUAGGAUGCGACUUGGUAUUGCUCAUUCUGUAUCUACGUUCCCCUCUGGGUAGCCUUUUCCUUUUAUUUGAAAAGUUCUAUGUAUGUGCGUGUACGUGUGCGUGUACGUGUGCGUGUGUGUGUGUGUGUGUGUGUUUUCUUUCUUUUUUUCUUUUUUUUUUGCAGUGCUGGGGACAGAACCCAGGGCCUCACACAUGCUAGGCAGGUGCUCUGCCACUGAGCCACAUCCCCAGCCCUUUUAAUCUUUUAAUUUUUUUUUUUUUUUCAUUUUGAGACAGGGUCUAGCUAAAUUGCUUGGGCUGGCCUCAAACUUGGGAUCACCUCUCUUUAGUCUCCUGAGAUUUCAGGGCAUUUUAAAUUAAGAUUAUCUGCCACCUGUUGUACAGGUUAUUAUCAAUUACGACAUUUUUUGAGUGCUUUGGGGCUGGGAUGUGGCUCAGGGAGGAGCAACACUGAGCAUGUGAUAGGCCCUGGUUUCCACCCCCAGGACCCCGUCCCCUCCACCCCAUGCACACACAUAAAGUUCUCCUAUGGAAACAUGGCAGCAUGUGUAAACCACGCAGCCCUCCCAGAGGGGCUGCAGACAGCAGGUGCUCCCACUUGCAAGAAAGCAGAACCUACUGGGAGAAUGUCACUUCUGUCUGAGGUGACUGGGGAGUGGCUGGUGCUAAAGACACUAGAAGUUGGAGCGUGCAGCCAGUGGCUACUGAGAGAUGCGAAGUGUCCCCACCCCCACCCCCACCAGCUUCAGACCUGGAGGGUGACUUUCAGGUUGAAAAGACAACCCACCAGGUGCACACCUAUAAUCCCAGCCACUCAGGAGGAUGGCAAAUUCAAGUCCAGUCUGGGCAACUUAGUGAGACCCUGUCUCAAAAAUGAAAAAUAAAAAGGGAUGGGGUGUAGCUCAGUGACAGAGUGCCCCUGGGUUUAACCCCCAGUAAGAAACACGAAACAAAACAAAACUGAAAAAACCCACAACCACACAGCGUCACCAGAACAAGAGGAAAAUUGGGAAAUCUGGCUUCUUCCCAUGUAUGAUAGGAAAUUUCUCGAUUGUUUAUCAGACUAGAUCUCAGAACAAACAGUUGCUGAGUGAUCCCAUAUCCCAGCCUAUUAAAAUGUCAUGACUCUCAAACAGGUUUUCCAGGCUGAACUAUAAAUAUAAGACACUCUGACAGGCGCACGCCUAAUCCCAGCAGCUUGGGAGGACUGCAAGUUCAAAGCCAGCCUCAGCAACUUAGUGAGGCCCUGAGCAAUUUAGGGUACCCUGUGUCUCUAAAUGAAAAAUAAAAAGGGCUGGGGAUAUAGCUCAGUGGCAGAGUGCCCCUGAGUUCAAUCCCUAGGACCAGCAAACCAACUAACCAACCCACUACAGACAGCGUGACUCCACAAACGUUCAUCCCUCACAGUUUUGGAGGCUGGAGGCUGGGGAAUCCAAGAUCAAGGUAGUGGGAGAUUCAUUGCCUGAUAAGGGACGCUUCUGAGUUCACAUAGAUGACAGCUUCUUAUGGUGUUCUUACGUGGUGGAAGGGGCUGGGGGUGCUAAGGUCACUCAUCCCAUCGGUGGGGACUCCACCCUCAUGACUGACCCCCCUCUCCAAGGCUCCCCCUCCUAAUGUCAUCCCACUGAGGGUCAGGAUUUCAACAUAUGAAUCUGCAGGGCACACAGACCUUCAUGACAGAACCUCAGGGCUCAUGUUCCAGGUCUGGAUUUCCAACCUCCAAACUUAGUCCAGUCUUACCUGGUGGAAGGAAUGCAGCCUAUCAGUCAUGACACCUGUCCGUUUAUCACCAGUUUAAUGGAAGGAAACAGAUCAACUGGUCAUUUCGGCACCAGUGGGAAUAUUCCUUAUCAGACUAGAGAUAUGGUGUUGAGACGGGAUUGGUGUUCUCCUUCUAUUCAAGAUGUUUAAGCGAAUCUCAUACCAGACUUGUAAAAAUUCCACUGAUUAAACUUGCAAUCAAUGUUCAAA